Molecule: transfer RNA, 77 nt
Filed under: Candidatus Avacidaminococcus intestinavium
Lineage: Bacteria; Bacillati; Bacillota; Negativicutes; Acidaminococcales; Acidaminococcaceae
Description: tRNA-Arg
Rfam family: tRNA
About the family: Transfer RNA (tRNA) molecules are approximately 80 nucleotides in length. Their secondary structure includes four short double-helical elements and three loops (D, anti-codon, and T loops). Further hydrogen bonds mediate the characteristic L-shaped molecular structure. tRNAs have two regions of fundamental functional importance: the anti-codon, which is responsible for specific mRNA codon recognition, and the 3' end, to which the tRNAs corresponding amino acid is attached (by aminoacyl-tRNA synthetases). tRNAs cope with the degeneracy of the genetic code in two manners: having more than one tRNA (with a specific anti-codon) for a particular amino acid; and 'wobble' base-pairing, i.e. permitting non-standard base-pairing at the 3rd anti-codon position.
Source: RNAcentral
GGCCCUGUAGCUCAGCUGGAUAGAGCAACGGCCUUCUAAGCCGUGUGUCGGGCGUUCGAGUCGCUCCAGGGUCACCA